CAGGACAUAGACAAAGGGUGGCGGCUGGUGGUUUUAUCUUUAAUAUCUGGAAGCUACAGGAUAUCCUUGCUUUUUCUCUUUAACUUUUCAUAGCAAAUGGAAGGCCAGGAGUUCCCCGCCCUGCAGAUCACUUCUCUGGGCGAGACCCCUUCCAUGGGUUUGUUUCUCAGCCAUGGAGAAGGCUGCUCUGAACCUCCACGAGGAUCUGGGAGGACUGUGAACACAAGGACUUAAGCGAUAAUCAAGAUUUUUGGAAGAGAUGCAAUUUGUCAUUUUCCAGGGCAUAAGCCAGCCUCUCAACAGGAAAGGGCUGCGUGAAACUUGCACCGCUGAAAAUUUUUUUAGGCAUUAUGGCAUUACGCACGGUUCUCACAUGCCUGUCUGUCUGUAGGGAACACGCACCAAAAGAGUGCUGACUACUUCUAUCUUGAGCUUGCCCCUUAUUUUCCAAGCUUGAUCUUGUCCCUGUGGACACCAGGACCUCCUGUUACAUUGCAGAAGCACUUGCUGACUUCUGCCAUAGUGUGCUCUCCAGGUGGCUGAGGAGAGAUGCUGCACAGAUGAGACUGAAGCAGAGCUGUGCUCAGACAAUUCUACGUCUCAUUUAUGCCGGAAAAAAAAAAUAAGUCAAGAGAGCCAUAAAGAGACAGGACAUGGCGAUUGAUUUGGCAUCAGCAGAAUUACGUUGGAGAAACGAGAACAGACUUGGGCCUGCUAUCUUUCAAUGCCAGCAUAACGAGAAGUAAGUCUUAUCAAAAUGAAGAGAUGUACUUCAGAGCUCCCUCCUGCUGCAGCUGGGAGGGCAAAAACCACCUGUCUGCGCUCACACUUCCCCUCUGGGGUGACCGCAGUGGCUGGUGUGCAAAGCGUUUCUCUGGGCUCAGCUGUCUUCUGUGUGAGUCGGCAGCAGGAGGUAAAGGAGUGGAGCCAGCACCCUGACAGAGCUGUGCUGCUGGGCCUGUCCGCAGAGCAAAGCCACGAGGAGAGGCUCGAGUGGCUCUGGGCUGGAGAAGCUUCCUUAGAGCUGCUGGCCGUGUUGGUCUAGAGCUGGAAAGACACCAAGUCUUUGUCCACACCUCUGGAGAGAUGCCAGACCGAGAGGACUUACAGGAAGGCCAAGGAUUGGAGUUCUGGCUUUCUGCUUAUCUACAGCUUCUCUAAAGAUUGUUCUUGGUGCUUCCAUUGCAGAUGUGAGUCUGGGAGGACACUACAGCUGACUGUAGAACUGGCCAACUUUGUUUUCCCUGAUUUAUGGCAGAGAAACCAAGUGGAUCAAACUUCAUCGGUUAAGAAGAGAUCCCUAUAAAACAUUCUGCAUUCUAUUUCUGGUUCGUAUUC
Molecule: long non-coding RNA, 1338 nt
Organism: Cygnus atratus (black swan)
Lineage: Eukaryota; Metazoa; Chordata; Aves; Anseriformes; Anatidae
Exons: 3
Source: RefSeq, a predicted model, not a curated record